GCCAGUAGAGGUGCUGCAUGGCUGUCGUCAGCUCGUGUCGUGAGAUGUUGGGUUAAGUCCCGCAACGAGCGCAACCCUUACCCUUAGUUGCCAGCGGGUAAUGCCGGGCACUCUAAGGGGACCGCCCCGGAUAACGGGGAGGAAGGCGGGGAUGACGUCAAGUCAGCAUGGCCUUUAUGUCCAGGGCUACACACGUGCUACAAUGGGCGAUACAGAGGGAAGCAAGGCCGCAAGGUAGAGCUAAUCCCUAAAGUCGUCCUCAGUUCGGAUUGCAGGCUGCAACUCGCCUGCAUGAAGUCGGAAUCGCUAGUAAUCGCGGAUCAGCUACGCCGCGGUGAAUACGUUCUCGGGCCUU
Molecule: ribosomal RNA, 355 nt
Filed under: uncultured Aminicenantes bacterium
Lineage: Bacteria; Candidatus Aminicenantota
Description: bacterial SSU rRNA
Rfam family: Bacterial small subunit ribosomal RNA
Source: RNAcentral